ACAAAUAGUGUAGAAAAGUUUUCUUUUACCAAACCUAUGAGACUCUUUUCUUCCUUCCGAAAUCUUCUUUUCUGUUUCACAGCUCAAACUCAAAUCGGAUUAUUUUUAAAACUCUUCAUGAUUGAUACUACAUGUUUGUUUGAUUUUUGAAGAUCUGUUGUUGAUUGGUUAAUCGAGAUGGAUUUUAUUAUGUUUUGUUGAAAUUUAAAAGAAGUGAUAAUGGAUUACAAAUCCUUGAAUCUUUUUUUCCAAUCUCUCACUCUAAACUAGAAAUCCUCGGGAGUUUUCUUCUGAUCCUCUUGUUUCUAUUGGGGGGACGCAUACCUGAAGCCGAGCCUUACUUUUUUUUUUUUUUGAAGCAUAGCCGAGCCUUCCUGGGUAGCAAUGCCUCUCCUAGUGGUGAGCAGGUGGUGAAAUUUGGAAAAUAAAGUGGAGCAAUGUGCAAGAAUUCGUAAGUCUCUGUAUUUAUAAUGGGACUAUGAAGAGUUUUUGCCAUUUUGGACGAUUGACAUCACUUUUAUUUGUAUAGCACCGUUGUUGGCAUAUCCGUAUCAUUACAACCUGUACAUUUUUCAUGAAGUCUUGUACCUAUUUCAAAAACUCAAUCAACUUACUGUUCAAAGCUGAAAGAUAUCUCAAGAAGACUGUUGGGGACGCCUGGUUUGAGUUAGGCAUGCAGUAAUGACUGCUUCCAUUUUAAAAUUUAGACCUUUGUAAAAUUUGUUAUGUACUGGUGGUCAUUUUGAUGUUUUGUUCGUUUGGAGUUUGUAAUUCUCUUGCUGACAAGUGACAAUACAUUAAACAAAAUUUUCUUA
Molecule: long non-coding RNA, 815 nt
Organism: Papaver somniferum (opium poppy)
Lineage: Eukaryota; Viridiplantae; Streptophyta; Magnoliopsida; Ranunculales; Papaveraceae
Exons: 2
Source: RefSeq, a predicted model, not a curated record